GACGCUUUGCCGCAGUGGUUACCGGGUUCGCCUGCUAUUUAUCAGCUAAGCGAAUAUGCUUUGCAUACGUGAGUUCGAAUCUCACAGGCGUCG
RNAcentral lists this transfer RNA (93 nucleotides) under Sphaerobolus stellatus SS14. RNAcentral's name for it is "tRNA-Ser". It matches the Rfam family "tRNA". From Rfam's summary of the family: Transfer RNA (tRNA) molecules are approximately 80 nucleotides in length. Their secondary structure includes four short double-helical elements and three loops (D, anti-codon, and T loops). Lineage: Eukaryota; Fungi; Basidiomycota; Agaricomycetes; Geastrales; Sphaerobolaceae. The record is from RNAcentral.